RNAcentral lists this ribosomal RNA (509 nucleotides) under uncultured bacterium. Its description in RNAcentral is "bacterial SSU rRNA". It matches the Rfam family "Bacterial small subunit ribosomal RNA", at positions 8 to 507 of the family's 1533-position model. The record is from RNAcentral.
AGAGUUGGAUCCUGGCUCAGAGUGAACGCUGGCGGCAGGCCUAAUACAUGCAAGUCGAACGGCAGCACAGCAGAGCUUGCUCUGUGGGUGGCGAGUGGCGGACGGGUGAGGAAUACGUGGGAAUCUGCCCAGUCGUGGGGGAUAACGUAGGGAAACUUACGCUAAUACCGCAUGCGCCCUUCGGGGAAAGCCGGGGACCUUCGGGCCUGGCGCGAUUGGAUGAGCCCACGUCGGAUUAGCUAGUUGGCGGGGUAAAGGCCCACCAAGGCGACGAUCCGUAGCUGGUCCGAGAGGAUGAUCAGCCACACUGGAACUGAGACACGGUCCAGACUCCUACGGGAGGCAGCAGUAGGGAAUAUUGGACAAUGGGCGCAAGCCUGAUCCAGCCAUGCCGCGUGAGUGAAGAAGGCCCUCGGGUUGUAAAGCUCUUUUGUCCGGAAAGAAAAGCGCCGGGUUAAUACCCUGGUGUCCUGACGGUACCGGAAGAAUAAGCACCGGCUAACUUCGUG